RNAcentral lists this ribosomal RNA (619 nucleotides) under uncultured fungus. Its description in RNAcentral is "eukaryotic LSU rRNA". The stretch from base 263 to 416 matches the Rfam family "5.8S ribosomal RNA". Lineage: Eukaryota; Fungi. The record is from RNAcentral.
CACUAGUGAUUCUUGGUCAUUUAGAGGAAGUAAAAGUCGUAACAAGGUCUCCGUUGGUGAACCAGCGGAGGGAUCAUUAAAGAGUUAUUACAACUCCCAAACCCAUGUGAACCUACCUUUGUUGCCUCGGCAGGUCUGCAGCUUACCCUGUGAGACCCUACCCUGUAGGGACCUUACCUAGUAGUUGCGGGUAAAACCUGCCGGUGGUCUACUAAACUCUGUUUACCAUGUUAUUCUGAAUAAUUAUAAGUAAAUAAGUUAAAACUUUCAACAACGGAUCUCUUGGUUCUGGCAUCGAUGAAGAACGCAGCGAAAUGCGAUAAGUAAUGUGAAUCGCAGAAUUCAGUGAAUCAUCGAAUCUUUGAACGCACAUUGCGCCCAUUAGUAUUCUAGUGGGCAUGCCUGUUCGAGCGUCAUUUCAACCAUCAGGCCGUGUCCAGGCUUGUGUUGGGGCUCUGCGGCUACCGCAGCCUCCUAAAUGCAGUGGCGGGCUCGCUGUUACCCCGAGCGCAGUAGCGUAUCUCGCUCUGGGCGUGGCGGCGAGUGCUAGCCGUGAAACACUCACUAAGGUUGACCUCAGAUCAGGCAGGAUUACCCGCUGAACUUAAGCAUAUCAAUA